RNAcentral lists this long non-coding RNA (377 nucleotides) under Setaria viridis. Its description in RNAcentral is "long non-coding RNA (SVIR_LNC008259)". The record is from RNAcentral. Lineage: Eukaryota; Viridiplantae; Streptophyta; Magnoliopsida; Poales; Poaceae.
UAAACAGUUAUUAUUUCAAGAAUGUCGAAAGUAGCUGAUGUAUUGAGCAAUUUAGUACGAGGAGUACUUACCCACAGCUCGGCCUUGACCCGCUCCGCUAUGUUGGGGAAUCUUCUCUGUUGACGAUCAGGGACGUCGGGGGCGGCGACGUAGUGGUCCCACGUGUAGGCCGGCUGCAGCUGUCCGGCGUACACCACCAAGCCAGGGAAGUGAACCCUGCACAAAAGGCCAAGGAUCCCGUUGGCCUUACGGUUGUGGUCACCCCCGCUGAGCUUAACCCAACUCCUGCACAAGUAAUUAAUAUGAAUUAUUAGUUUUUGUAACUUACAACAUAAGAACAAUUUUAAGAAUAUUUAAAGUUACUUACUUGGUCCCAA